AAUAAGCGUACACGGUGGAUGCCUAGGCAGUCAGAGGCGAUGAAGGACGUGCUAAUCUGCGAUAAGCGCCGGUAAGGUGAUAUGAACCGUUAUAACCGGCGAUUUCCGAAUGGGGAAACCCAGUGUGAUCCGUCACACUAUCAUUACCUGAAUACAUAGGGUAAUGAAGCGAACCGGGAGAACUGAAACAUCUAAGUAACCCGAGGAAAAGAAAUCAAACGAGAUUCCCCCAGUAGCGGCGAGCGAACGGGGAGCAGCCCAGGACCUUAAUCAGCAUCAGUGUUAAGAGAACAGUCUGGAAAGGCUGGCCACAGCAGGUGAUAGCCCUGUAUCUGAAAGCACUGGUGUUGUGAGUCCGAUGAGUAAGGCGGGACACGUGUUAUCCUGUCUGAAUACGGGGGGACCAUCCUCCAAGGCUAAAUACUCCUGACUGACCGAUAGUGAACCAGUACCGUGAGGGAAAGGCGAAAAGAACCCCGGCGAGGGGAGUGAAAAAGAACCUGAAACCGUGUACGUACAAGCAGUGGGAGCACCUUUAUGGUGUGACUGCGUACCUUUUGUAUAAUGGGUCAGCGACUUAUAUUCUGUAGCAAGGUUAACCGAAUAGGGGAGCCGCAGGGAAACCGAGUCUUAACUGGGCGAAUUAGUUGCAGGGUAUAGACCCGAAACCCGGUGAUCUAGCCAUGGGCAGGUUGAAGGUUGGGUAACACUAACUGGAGGACCGAACCGACUAAUGUUGAAAAAUUAGCGGAUGACUUGUGGCUGGGGGUGAAAGGCCAAUCAAACCGGGAGAUAGCUGGUUCUCCCCGAAAGCU
This 815-nucleotide ribosomal RNA is filed under the name Morganella morganii subsp. morganii. RNAcentral's name for it is "partial 23S ribosomal RNA". It matches the Rfam family "Bacterial large subunit ribosomal RNA", at positions 10 to 867 of the family's 2925-position model. Lineage: Bacteria; Pseudomonadati; Pseudomonadota; Gammaproteobacteria; Enterobacterales; Morganellaceae. The record is from RNAcentral.